UACAGAGGUCUCGAGCGUUGUUCGGAUUCAUUGGGCGUAAAGGGUGCGUAGGCGGCGGGGUAAGUCUGAUGUGAAAUCCCGGGGCUCAACUCCGGAACUGCAUUGGAUACUGCCUUGCUUGAGAGCUGGAGAGGAAACUGGAAUUUACGGUGUAGCAGUGAAAUGCGUAGAGAUCGUAAGGAAGACCAGUGGCGAAGGCGGGUCUCUGGACAGUUCCUGACACUGAGGCACGAAGGCCAGGGGAGCAAACGGG
Molecule: ribosomal RNA, 253 nt
Filed under: uncultured bacterium
Lineage: Bacteria
Description: partial 16S ribosomal RNA
Rfam family: Bacterial small subunit ribosomal RNA
Source: RNAcentral